AAUCAAUCUUCCUUUUUUAUUGAGUAAGAAAGCUUACCUUCUCUCCUCGCAUGAAGGCUCUUUUAUAGUGUCAGAAGCUCUGUCCCCUUUAAUGGUGGGAAGAAUUUUUGGCUUGCAAUGAUUGCGCUAAGGCAGUGGCAGAGCCAUCAUUGCCCUACAAGCAGCUUCAGAAAUCAUGGGGGAGAAUGACUUGCCGUCAUUCCUGUCAUUUCGCUCUGCAGGCGACGGAAUGUGGGCUGUGACAGGUUGUUUGAAGUGACUCAGUAUGGUCCCGUCGAAAGUGCUUCUGGUUGUGUAGACCAGGGAGGCCCGUAUUUCACGGCCAAGGCUUUUGGUUAAGUUGCUAGCGUUGGGUCCGGACAACAUAUCCGGACAAGAGAGGGGAUCGUCCGGAUAAUGGGUUUGAGAGUGUCGUAUGCCCCCCUGAGGGAAUCCGGAUAGAGAGUUGGUGUGCCACGUGUCCCCUGGCGGGGUGCCAUGCGGGGUUGCCACGUGGGUGUUUAGGGGUGGUCCCUACAAACUAUACCCUCUUGCAAACCAUAAAGAUUUUCUUCCCUUGGUCAGUUUUAUGUUUCAGUUUGCAAGAACAACUGCAAACUUAAAGUUCAUGAUAAAGUGAGUGAUUUCCAGAGCAAACAUAUUGACAAUAAGCUGCACUUAAGGAAUUUCUGAGCUUUGGAGGCAGCUGUGUUGGUUCCAUUUAACAAAAAAUUUUGGAUCAAUUGGCGUCAAGAUUCUCGAAAGCAAUCAAUAGGUCGAUGGCAAUGAGCAAUUUGUCGAAGUCUGAAUAAGAGUGCGUAGCUACCAGCAAGGAAGAGCUCCUUGACUAUCUAGUAUUGUCGUCUCCUAUGGUUGAUUGAUUAUGUUCAAAUUGGAAACCAAGUGAAAGGUCCUUCAGUUGUCCAUCUUGAUAUUCUUUAUGCCAAAAUCUCGACCAACAAUGUCCACUUAGGUCAGCAUGAUAACGAGAGAGGCAAAUGCGGACGACAACAUAUCCAAACCUGGCCUCAUUUUUGAGCUCAUGGGGAUUAAAGUUGGAGGUGCCCAUAAGUACAAGUCUGAUGCAACAUUUGAAUUGAAGCUAGCCAGGAAACAAAGAUAGGUUGGCGAAGAUCUUCUGAACACAAGGUUUGUGGAGAAGAUAGAUGACUAUGAUGUUGUUAUUAGAGAAAAAUAGCGUCAGGUCAACCUACCACAACAAUACAGUCCCAAUUGCACCCUGGACCCCACAUGCAUGAAUUCCCCGCUUGCAUGGCCACCCCCCUAAGUGUGCUUCUUUUUAAAUCCACAUCUCUUUCAUAUCAACAGCGUAGACACCUAUGCACCUCAAAAGUUGCAUUGAUUGUAGGAUAUAUCCACGGAAACAUGACCCUUUCAACUAGACCCUACUAUCUAUUCUCAAUAUGGAGCUGUCGCAUCUGAAAGAUGGUCUUGGCUGCAAUUGCCUGAUAUGUCACUAGAGACAUGGGAUGAUGACUAGGUCUUUGUACUGGUCUUCAAAUGAUCUCAUCCUUGGCUUGCUCUGUAUGCUGAGUCAACCUUUGGAAGUAACUAGAAAUCACAUCUUCAAUUUCCCACUCCAGUAUCUUGCCAGGUUCUCUUGAGGUGGUAGUAGGCACUGUGUGAUAAGUAUAAGGCAUGUUGCUGGAUUGCAUGUAAGUGUAACCAUAAAAAUUAAUAAAAGGCUCUGAGUCACCAAGCAUCUCAGCCUUCACAACAGUUGGUUGUCUGUGAGAUAGAAUCAUUACCAUUUACAGAAGCUUUCUUAAAAGGAGUGAGGGAGGAUCUAUUUCUUCAAAGAAAGACCCAACAUGAAUUACUUUCUUCACAUCAAAUCUUACUAUCUUCAACAAUGUGUUGGCCAAUGAUAACGUGAUCUCUUGAAAGCAUGGGAAUAUAUUAGCUCGACUUUAACCCAUUUAACUAUGCUUACAGAUAACUCUAGGAGUUGUGACUCUAUACGGGCCAUUGAAUCCUAUGGGGUUAGAGAAUCCAAAUCUGAUGCCAAUGGAACGCUACCUCCAAUUUCUCCAAUUCACUACAAUACCUUGGAAUCAACUAUCCAAUAUUUGAGUGAGAUUGUCGCACACUUCAUCCCUCAUAUCAACACUUUCGUCAUUCCCCAAUACAUGCUCGAACACAUAGACAAGGACUCCAACACCGUGCGAAAGAAUGAGCAAAAAGCAUAGAUGAAAACAUUAAAAAAUUCCAGGAAAAGGAUGAGCAGAAGAUGAACAUAAAUAGCCUCAUUUCAAGGGCAGAUCCAUGGGUUAAAAUGAGGGAAUGAUUCAAAAGAGAUUUUUAACAUAAAUAGGGCGGGAUUUCUAUCAUCAGAUUCAAAGACAAACCCAAAUGCAUAUUGUUCUCAGAUGAAGUCAAUGACAUUGAAAAUAAACGAAAGUCCAAGAAAAAAAAUCAGAGCAAAUAAAAAAAAAAAAACCAACCAAUCGUGGCCCUUAGCGUCCACACCAAACAGCAAAGAUUGAAUGUUCAAAAAUGGCUAGAGAACAAUGGAGGAUCAAAUAUAAAUGGGAAUAAAAAAAAUAAAAAAAAUAAAAACAAGAAACGUACCCAACAACUUUGACUCAACCCACUUGACUUCCAGCUAUGGUUCUUUUUCGAAAUCCUUAAAAAAAAAAAACCUAUGGGCAUGAGUUUUUUUUUUUUUUUUCUCACCUAAAGCAAUGAAAAAUUCUUCAUUUAUUCCCCUAUUCUCAAUGCGUGCUGCCAGUCCCCCCCUUUGAAAACCUCCCUAUUUUUCUCUAUCUCUUCUAUAUCUCUUUGUUUUUCUCUCCUGAUAUAUUUCAUUGCUAUCUCUCUUGCUAUAUCUCCUUGCUAUCUCUCUUAACCUCCUCAAAAACCCAUCUACUCAUGCUUUUUGUAGCCAUUGGUAGUGCUGCUACGUGAGGAGUCUUACUCUCUCCAAAUUCUAUCACAUCCACUAGAAAAGUCUUUUUUUUUUUAAUUUAAAAAAAAUGAAUCCAUGCAUAUCACUUAAAAGUCCUACAUUUGCCAAAAACUUCUCCAAUGGUAGAUUUUCUUAUAAAACUUCAAAUUAUUAAAUCAAAAAAAUAAAAAAGAAUAAAUAAAAGAUAAAAAUAAUAAUAAUAGAUAAAUAACAAGAUAAUGAACAAAUAAAUAAAAAAGAAAAAAGAAAAAAUAACUAAAUAAAUAAAAGUGAUUGAUAACAAUGAAAAUAAAUUAAAAUAAAUAAAUAUAAUAAAUUAUUAAAUAAAAGUGAUUGAUAAUAAUAAUAAAAAUAAAAAUAAAAAAAUAAGUAAAUGAGAUAAAUGGGUCAUGCAAACGUACAAGUCACGUUAAAAAUGUCUAAUGGGCUAAGUGGGCCUAAGGUGUCUAAAUGACCCUAAGUGAACCUAGACAGCCCUAAGGUGUCUAAAUGGGCCUAAGGUAUACUUAUACGGGCCAAGGGUGAGACUAGGUGGACCUAACUAAGUCUAACCUAAAGUGUACCUAAAUGAAGCCUAGUCUAAACUUGAAAGGCAAUUAAGGUCAUAAUGUGGAGCUGGAUAAACCCCUCAACCAAAGUCUCCAAAGUGGUUCAGAAAAUAUAUGUAGUGUGAGUAGCAAUGGGCCACCAAUGAAUUACUGUGGAACACUGGAAGUGAACUCAAAGACAUGUGCUAAAGGGACAAAAUGGAGGGGUUACUCAUACUACUUAUAGGGUGUAUCAAAGGCCUUCUCAUAGCCUAAGUAGCUGACUUGAGAAUGAACUUACCAUCUUGAGAGAAUUCCCAAAUAAUCCUAUCACAUAAGGGAGAGGAAGGAUUUAGGAUAGCUUUAAUGUCUAUUAGAACAUUUUGGGGGAGGAUUGAGGAAAUGGACUGUAAAUUCCACUAUUAGGAAUCCUGAUUUAUAAAGUUUUACACUUUGGCAUCCCAAUUGAUGCAAUGUAAGUGGUUUUCAUCCACAAAAGAAAUAAGUGACGACAUGUAAACCCAGUAAUUUAUCCAAAAGUAGACUUUCCUCUCAUCUCCUAUGCACCAUAUUAGCCCAACUCCAAUAUAUUUUCUAUGGUUAAUUACUUCCUUCCAAACAAUGGAAUCUUUUUUUUUUUUGGGAUCCUAAAGAAAUUGUUGUUUUUAAUAUAUUUUUCUCUCAUGAUCCUAGCCCAAAUGCUAUUAGUAUUCGUAAGGAUUCUCCACCCUAGCUUAGUAAUUGUAGUUUUAUUAACAUCUUCAUUAUUCCUAAUUUCUAACCCUCCUUUAGAUUUAGGUCUACAAACCCCAUCCCAGGCUACCAAAGGAAAACAUUUAGACUCGUUAGACCCUACAUUUGGUAACCAUAAGAAGUUUUUGUUGAUUCUAUCUAAAUCUUCAUUAUUUCUCUUUGUAAGUUUGAAACAAUUCAUAACAUGAAGAGGUGAGCUAGCCAAAUUAGCCUUUAUUAGGACUAUUUUACAAGCUCUUGAAAGGAAUCGAGCUUUCUAAGAUGCAAUCUUUUUUUGAGAUUUGAGAAUUACUUUAUAAAAAGUGUCUCUUUUAACUCUACCUUGAAUUAUUGGACAACCAAGAUACUUGCUAAUGUCAUUAGAAAUAGGAAUGCUUAGAGCUUUCUCAAGUCUCUUCCUCAUAACCCUUUGAAUAUUACUAGAAAUCUAGACUGAGGAUUUAUGAAAAUUCACAAGUUGCCCUAACAUGGCACAAAAACCAUUCAAAAUUCUAUUAAUAUUAGAACAAUCAUUUUGAGAAGCUUUAGUAAAGAUGAUAUAUUCAUAUGCAAAUGUAAGGGAGGGAAUUUUAGGUCCAUUUCGAUGAGUUGAGAUUCUUAGAUGAUUUAUAGGGUUUUCCGUUUCUUUUACUAACUCUCUCCCCAAAUAUUUUGUACACAUAAUGAAAAUAUAAGUAGAUAAAGGGUCUCCCUAUCUAAUACCUCUUGAAGGUUGAAUUUUUCCUUCCGGAAUACCAUUAAUCAAGAUUGAGUAAGACACUAUGGAAAUGCUUUCCAUAACCCAUUCAAUCCAUUUCGGGUGAAAGCCUAUUUUGGAAAGAAUUACCCUAAUAAAAUCUCAUUCAAGCCUAAUAUAAGCUUUUUCCAUAUCAAGUUUAAUCGUCAUAUAUCUUGAUUUGUCUUUUUUCUUUUUAAACAAAUGCAUGAUUUCAUGGGCUAAAAAAACAUUAUCAAUAACAAGUCUUCUUGGGCAAAUGCACCUUACAAAGGAGAUAAAAUUUUGUUUAGGAGAGGUUUUAUCCUAUUACCCAAAAUUUUAGCUAUUAUUUUAUAACAGACAUUGCAUAAGCUAAUAGGUCUAAAAUGAUUUAAAGACUCCAAGUUAUUAGAUUUAGGAAUCAAUGUGAUAAAAAUCUUAUUAUCUCUUUGAGCAUAUGUCCAUUGAAAAAGAAAGCUUUGACCAUUUUAGAAACAUAUUUUCCAAUAUUUUUAUAAAAACUAGCUUGGAGACCAUCAGCCCCAAACACUUUCAUACUAUUGAUUUGUGAAGGAGUUGCACAAAUUUCUUUUUUUGUGGCUUCUUUAAUUAACUCUUUUUCUUCUUCUGAGAUGCGAGGACUAAAAGUAUCAAAUGGGUCAUAAUUUAUCAUUGGAUUUUUAGAAGUGAAUCUUUUAGAGAAAUCAUUAAUGAACACUUUUGAAAUUCCCUUUUGAUCAUUAUACCGUAUUCCUUCAAAAUCUCUAAUUAGCAUAUAUUUAUAGGUACUGUAUGGUACCCAUAUUAAAGAUGUAAUUGAGACCAUUAAAAAUACAUGGUGAAAUCUAAGUCAUUGGUAUAGAAUAACUGGAAGUAAAAUUGAAUCGUAACAAGAUUUUGAUUGAUCCAUUUUUUAAUAAUAUAUAUGAGCAAAAUUAUAAAACGAGUUUGGAGGGGAAGAUUUAAGUGCCAGCUAUCCAUGACGUAUGCUACCUAAACGUUUACAAGAGCCUACUGUUGAGUAUAAGCGUCUGAGUCCCAUGAGUCCAAAGGAACGGCGCCCAGAAAAUUCAGACAAGGAAUAUAUGCAUAUAUUUUUUAAAAAAAGUGAACAGCAAUAAUGGAAAGCUUAGAGUGUCGGCAAGCCAACGUUAGGUUGAGGCAUAUUAGACUUAGGAGUGUUGAGAUGUCGUGGGGGUGGGGACGGAGUGGUUGAAAUGUAAACAAAACCGCGUGCCUUAUUGGUACACCGACAUCUGGUAGAUUCUAUGUAGUAAUAUCUCCUUCCAUUUGUUCACGGAUCGCCAUCGCCAUCUCCACCUCUAAAUAAAUAAAUAAAUAAAUAAAUAAAUACUAUGUUGUUGUUACUUAUCAUUCGUCAACACCCAACAUUUUCUUACCAAUUCUUUAAAAUAUUAAAUAUUUAAUAAAUUUUUAAAACUGAAAAAAAAUUAUCCUCAAAUAAUUCAUUGUUGUUUUUUUUCUUUCAAAAAUUACUUUUUUUGGAUACUAUCAAACAAAAAGAUUCUUACACAAAUGACAAAAAUUUAUCAUUUACAUUUAAAAAUUUAAUUUAUAAAUUGUAAAAGCAUUUUCAAAUACACAAUAUAUGCAACCAUUUUUUAUAUUUUAAAAAAAAUGGUAAAAAAAUACGAAUCCUCCCAUAAAAGUGGUUCAAAUAAUAAAGUUGUUACUAACAAAAUGCUUCAAAUAAAAAUAUUUGGAUUGGAAAAAAAAUACAUAUAGAGGGAUAGAAAUUGAGCACUUAAGAAAAAGGAAGAAUGGAAUUACUUAUGGAUUAUUUAUUUAUUUAUUUAUUCAUGUAAUAUAAACGUAAAAGAAGAUUUAUGCCAAUAUAGGGUGUUGGAUUCUCGCCACGGAAAGGAAAAAAAGUUGCAGUGUCAAGCAAGCAAGGUGGUCAAUAAAGAGGAAAAGAGAUAGAUAAUGUAUGUGUUAGUGUUAGACAGACUGUCUUUGUCGAUUAGCGGACUCGUCGGUGUCAGCAACCUAAUUUUAAUAAAUGGACAAACUAAAAUAAUAAUAAUAAUAAUAAUUGAAAAGCAUCCUGCAGUCAGUUCAAAGCCACCCCACCCACAGCCACAGGAUCAUCAUAUUAUUAGGCAGUACAUUAUGAGCACUUGCUGCUGUGCUGCUACCACCACCACCACCACCACCACCGUUGAGGCCCAGCUCGAUAAUAUUACCACUCCACUCUAGAAUUUUAACCCCAUUUCCCUCUGCAGAGGACUGGGUUCAAAUCUUCUGGCAUUGCUGAUUGUUUUUUGUUCUGGGGUUUAUACAUAGGCAGAAGGCGGAGUGAGGGGGAAGAAUCUCUUUCCUUUUUCAUAUAACAAUCUGGGUUUUGCUGCUUCUGUGCGUCCGUGGUGGUGGCGGUGUUGAAGAGGGUGAAGAAGGUGAAAUCUGUGUUCCAAUUUUGAAAUUGGGCUGGUGAAUCGGUUCAAGGAGGGAAUCUGAGUAGAUAAGCAUGUACGGGAGGGAUCCAUGGGGAGGUCCGCUGGAAAUAAACGCAGCGGAUUCGGCCACAGACGACGACCGGAGCAGGAACCUUCAGGACUUCGACAGAGCGGCACUUUCACGGCCACUGGACGAGACACAGCAGAGCUGGCUGUUGGGACCUGGAGAGCAGAAGAAGAAAAAGUAUGUGGAUCUGGGUUGCAUCAUUGUCAGCCGUAAGAUCUUCGUCUGGACGGUCGGAUCUAUUCUGGUGGCUGGCUUCCUCGCCGGUUUCAUUACCCUCAUCGUCAAGACCGUGCCGCGUCAUCACCACCCUCACGCUCCUCCUGAUAACUACACCCUCGCCCUCCACAAGGCCCUUAUGUUCUUCAACGCCCAGCGUUGUAUGUCUCUUCUCUCUCUCUCUCUCUCUCUCUCUCUUUUUUCUUUUUUCUUUUUACAUUUUCCAUUAUUUGAUUUCCAGAUCUACAAUCACUGCUUUCCAGAUCUGAUCCACAUUCUUUCACAAUAAUUCUUUUCUCUUAUUUUCAGCGUUGAUGGCAAACAUAUCAGCCAGUGAACCCAGUGAUACAUCUAGGAUCUUUUAUAGAAUUAUCUAAAACAAAUCAAUUAGUUUUUACAAUUUUUAUUGGAUUCGUUAUUUCUAAAAAGUCAAUAAUAAUAAUAAUAAAAUAUUAGAGGCUGAUGUUAUUUCUCUUCUGGGAAAUUCUGCUGAAAUGGUUGGAAGCGGGUAUCAGUCAUUUUGCAAAUUAGAAGAAAGUAAAGGCAAAAAAAUCUCUCACCCAGAAUAGAGAUCUAUAAUUGGAUGAUCACAUAAGUAGUCAAAUUUCUUCCUUAUGUCUACUAAAUUACAAAAAAAUUGAUUUGGGUUCUUUGCUUUACUGACCAUAAAUUGAUUGCGUCUUAUUAUUUUCAUCGAUUAACUUUGAAUCUGUAUUUUAUUCUUUUUCUCUUUUUCCUUCCUAUUUUCUUCCCCUUUCAUUUUCCUUCCAUUUCACUCAUCUUGUCUACUCACCUUUGUGUUCCUUUCUUUCUUAUAUUUGCAGCUGGAAAACUCCCAAAGCAUAAUAAUGUUUCCUGGAGGGGUAACUCGGGUAUGAAUGAUGGGAAGUCGGAGACCGGGAGUUUUUAUAAAGAUCUGGUGGGCGGCUACUAUGAUGCUGGAGAUGCAAUUAAGUUCAACUUCCCUAUGUCCUUUGCCAUGACCAUGUUGAGUUGGAGUGUGAUCGAAUACAGUGCAAAGUAUGAGGCUGCUGGGGAGCUCAACCAUGUCAAAGAGAUAAUCAAGUGGGGAACUGAUUACUUUCUCAAAACUUUCAAUUCUUCUGCUGAUACCAUAGACAGGAUGGUUGCACAGGUAAAUUUAUACCUGUGGUUUAGCCAAUUUAGUUAGCUACAUGAAGAUAGCUUGUUGUUUUUUGUUUCCUUUUAGUCUUCCAGGAUAUAUCCAUUUUUCAACAUUGUAAGUGUCUCAGUUUUGCUUUAGUCUAAUUAAUUUUUAACUUUGCUGCAACCAAAUGUCCCUUCUGUUUGUUGCUUGGAUUUUCCAAUUUUAAAAUAUUUAAGGACCAGACUGCAGUCAGUCUUGGCUAUUAUGAUACAUCAUGCUCCCUCCCUGUUGUGUAAUUUGUUGUCAAACUAUUGCUAAUGUUUUAGCUUUGGAUCUUCUGAAAAUGCUCAGUCAGUUAGAUUAUGCAAUUGUAUUCUGAUGUACACAGUUCCUCCUCUUUUUGACAGGUUGGAAUAGGAGAUACUUCCGGGGGGAGUACAACUCCCAAUGACCAUUAUUGUUGGAUGCGCCCUGAGGACAUUGAUUAUAAACGUCCUGUAACAGAAUGUGGUGGCUGCUCAGAUCUUGCUGCAGAGAUGGCUGCAGCGUUAGCUGCUGCAUCCAUUGUUUUCAAGGACAACAAGGCCUACUCACAGAAACUUGUCCAUGGUGCUAGAACUCUCUUUAAGUUUUCUAGGGAGCAGCGAGGCAGGUAUAGCAAUGGUGGUACAGAUGCUGCAAUUUUCUAUAAUUCAUCUAGUUACUGGGAUGAGUUUGUCUGGGGCGGAGCCUGGCUGUACUACGCCACUGGGAACAACUCCUAUCUUCAGCUUGCUACUACACCUGGUCUGGCCAAGCAUGCCGGUGCUUUCUGGGGAGGCCCAGAUUAUGGUAUACUUAGCUGGGACAACAAGCUUGCUGGUGCUCAAGUAAGUUAGUAGAGCUAGUUUUUAUUUUUUUAAGGACUUGGUCAGUUGUGCGAUUUAGUUGUUGUUUCCUGGCAAAUUAACUCAGUGUCAGUGUUUAUGUUGUACAAUUUUUCAGUUUAGUGGUUCAACCAUGUAAGGUCCUCUUGGCAUUCUAAAUCCUGGAUUGCCAUCAUUAGUCAACCCAAAAUUUUACCUAGUUCUUAACAUUGGCAUCAACUUAUUUGUUUAUUGCUUGUAUGAUAUCAUACUAAAGGUUGGGCAAAGUUGAGCCUAUACGAACAAACUGUCAGCAAGUUCUAGGACAUGGCUCUACCUUAAAUUGUCCAUUUUGGUAGUACAUAGCAGAUCCAGGACUUCAUUAUACUACUGGGCAUCCAUUUUAUGUGUUGGACCAUUUAUGAAAGGGAUUGUCUCUGGGUAAUUCACCUCUCAAAAUGAUGGCAUAACACAACUGUCAUGGCUGCCAAACUGGUCUUGUUUUCACUUAUAAUAUUUGAAGUGGAAAUCAUAGUUUUAAAUUGAGUAGCAAGUUUUGGCAGUUGAUUUGUUACUCUUUAUCUUUUAAUAGUUUCCAUUUAGAUAAAUUUGGCAAGAACUGAAGGUAUUAUUUAGUUUGGCAUUCCGUUUUUAUUUUGGAAGUCUUAACAUUUGCCUAAUGUUAAUGGUAUCAAAUUUCUCAGCUUGUUUCAAUGUGUGCUUCUUGAUAUUUGUCUCUGAAGUUGAUAUGUGGUUUGUUUCCAACAGUUCUCCUUUGAUGAUUGUAUUAGUCCAUGCAGCUUUGGGGCCAAACAUGAAUGCUUACCAAAUUGUUAGGCUUUCUCUAACACCUGUGAGCAGUGCUUACAAUGAUACCAACUUUAGUGAACUUUCCCCCUUUUUGAUUGGAUCUCCAUUUUCCGUUUUUAGUAUGUCAAAAUUUCGCUGAAGUUUUUCAUGUUUUUUUCCUUAUAUUUUCUUCUGCCUGCUGUCUUAUUUAUUUAUUUUCUUCUUAUGAUAGUCUCUUUCAUAUCUGCUGAUAUCUCAGCUUUAGGAUGGUCCAGUUGAUUUCUUUAUGAAAAGGUUUACAUCCAUAAAUGAAGUAGCUCCGAGACAUUCACAUUUGCAUGUUGAUCAAAUAAAAUUGGAAUUAUUGUUUGCAAGAGUCAAAAACUCAUGGCUGGUUCAUUGCUGAUAUGCUUUAUGUUUUUUUCUUAAUUAGGUGCUCCUAAGCCGUUUGAGAUUGUUCUUGAGCCCUGGGUAUCCAUAUGAAGAAAUUCUGAGGACAUUUCACAAUCAAACCAGCAUAAUUAUGUGCUCAUACCUACCGAUUUUCACAAGCUUUAACAGAACAAAAGGUACCCCAGCUAAUAUUUCGUCAACCUUACAGUUUGGUGGGGAUGGGUUGCCCAAGUUUAACACAAAAACUUAAUGUAAUGUUUUGGGUACCCCUUGCAGGAGGCUUGAUCCAAUUAAACCAUGGAAGGCCACAACCACUUCAAUACAUUGUCAAUGCUGCCUUCCUGGCUACCCUGUACAGUGAUUAUCUUGAAGCUGCUGACACCCCUGGAUGGUAUUGUGGACCUAAUUUCUAUUCAACUGAAGUCCUGCGUGAAUUUGCCAAGACCCAGGUAUGCGAUAUCUGAUUCCUCAAUUAAAGUUGUGAGGGAACAUGAGUCUGCUCAUGUAGUAAUAAAUAUUGUUGGAACCAACAAGGUCACUUAAAUUUUUCAUAUCUCUGACCUUCUGGCAGAUUGAUUACAUCCUCGGCAAAAAUCCUCGAAAGAUGAGCUAUAUUGCAGGUUUUGGCAAUCAUUAUCCAAGACAUGUCCACCAUAGAGGUGCAUCUAUCCCUAAGAACAAAAUCAAAUAUAAUUGUAAAGGAGGAUGGAAAUGGAGAGACUCUUCGAAGCCAAAUCCAAAUACACUCGUAGGGGCCAUGGUUGCUGGGCCAGACAAGCAUGAUGGUUUCCAUGAUGUCCGUACUAAUUACAACUACACAGAGCCUACGCUUGCAGGAAAUGCAGGUUUAGUAGCUGCACUUGUGGCUCUGUCAGGUGACAAGACAACUGGAAUUGACAAGAACACUAUAUUCUCUGCUGUUCCACCAAUGUUUCCCACUCCACCACCCCCUCCCGCACCUUGGAAACCAU
This 11688-nucleotide long non-coding RNA is filed under the name Vitis vinifera (wine grape). Its description in RNAcentral is "long non-coding RNA (VVIN_LNC003976)". The record is from RNAcentral. Lineage: Eukaryota; Viridiplantae; Streptophyta; Magnoliopsida; Vitales; Vitaceae.